Molecule: long non-coding RNA, 5386 nt
Filed under: Sus scrofa (pig)
Lineage: Eukaryota; Metazoa; Chordata; Mammalia; Artiodactyla; Suidae
Description: lncRNA (ENSSSCG00015066927.1)
Source: RNAcentral
GGCUUUGAAGAAGGUCCUCAACAGCCCUAACAUCUGACCUCCAUAUCCUACUCUAUCUCCUUUCUCUUUCUCACAGCCCCCUGAUGAAGUUGUGUUAAAUUAUUUGCUAACACUCUGCUCUUAUUUACCCAUAAAUUUGAAAAACUGAUCAUGUAGUCAUUGAUAAAAAGGAUAAAAUUAUUGCAUGAUGUAAAGGAUAGCUUGGAGACACUAUAGAAACAUGUUUGUAAAUUGAUAGUGAUCCACAGUGAAAAUAUUGCUUACCUGGAGUUUAUUCCUGUGUUAGCCCAAGCAGAUCAUUUGUUUGGGGUUGUAGUGGACAGAUCAUAAAGUGACCCCCUCCUAGUGUUCCUCUUCUGGUGUUCACGCCCUUGUAUAUCUCCUCCCCUUGAGUUUGGGUGCUACUUAUGAGUUGCUUCUAACCAGUAGAAUAUGGCAAUGGUGAUGCAGUGUCUCUCCUCGAUUGUUAAGUUUUAUACCUUGUCUUGCUAGAGACUCUCUCUUGCUGGCUUUGAAGAGAUAAGUAGCCAUGUUAGAAGGCCCACCUACCAAGGGGGUGAGGGUGGCCUCUAGGAGCUGAGGAUUGCCUCUAGCCAACAGCCAGAAGGAAGCUAGGGCUCUUGGUCUCACAGCCAUAAGUAAGUAAAUUCUGCCAACAACCUGAGAGAAAUUGGAAAAGGAUACUUCUACAGUCAGGCCUCCAGAUGAAAACACAGCCUGUCUGAUAGUUAGAUUAUUGCAGCCUGAACCCAGAGACUCCAGCUAAGCCUUGACCAUAUUCUUGACCCACAGAAAUAGUAAGAUACAUAUAGUACAGACUAAAUAUAGGGUGUGUGUGUGUAUAUAUGUGUGUGUAUGUAUAUAUAUAUAACAUACAGUGUAUAUAGUAAAUAUAUAGUGAUGUAGUAAAUGUAUAUAUAUAUUUUUUGUAAGACACUAUGAUUGUAGCAGUUUGUUAGCAUAGAAAACUAAUGCAGGGUCUUAUAGUGAGUAAACAAACCAUUUAGAUAUGUGCCUUGGUUCUGAUCCCUGCUUCAGAUUAUAUUGCCUCUUUAGUCAGAUGGCUGAUUCAGAACUCAGAAGAGGUAGGAUCUAAGAUAAGUCCCAUUAAACUAUGACCAACAAUUUCCUUUCCUUCUCUAUGCUUCCUUUUCUCAUCUGUAAAAUGAGAACAUCAUAGUGGAUGAGCUCUAAGGAAACUUUCAGCUCAAGUAUUUUAUGCCUACUGCCCACAAAGAGGAAGAUACCCUUGAAAUAAAUUUGAACUGAGGGGAAGCAGAAAAUAAUGAAGUUUGGAAAUAAUGAAACAAAAAUGAGCAAAUAUUGAAGGCUAAAAGGAAAUACAGCUUAGAAUAGAAAGUUUAAGAAGCCCAUACACUGAUAGACCCCAGAAAAGUCAAUGAAAUGAAAUGAUCCAGGCAGUUACAGAAGUGAUGCUGGCACAUCCAGCCAAGUGGGCAAUGGAACCACUAGUACCUCCCAUCUUGGUUUUAUGGACUUCAUUCUGAAGACAUCUGGGGAUGGGGGUGUUUAAUCUAGCUCAGAUCAUUUCCAGUGAAAGAAAAAAGAACUUACCUUUAGCCCAAAUCUGAGAAACUUUGCGCAGAAAUGCUCUUCAUGUCCUCCACCCCUAAUAACAGUCGUUGCUCGUUAUUAGACCACUGUCCUGGCUUCUGGUUAGUCGGAAGAGCAGAGCCAGUGUUCCUAGAAGUAAACCAGACCAACAAACUCAUGUGAAAUAGUUUUUUGGGUCUCCAUUUUCUAAUGCUACAUAAAGAAAGGCUUUGAAUAGCACUGGAUUCUGGGAAGAACCAUGGAGAGUAUUUUCUAAGAUUUCAAGUCAAUGGAUAUAACUGAGAACAUAAAUUCUAAAACCAUCAUAAGCUGAAUGCUGGAAAAAGAGAAGCAAGUGUUCUUUUCAGUAUGAAGAAAAAAAAAAUGCCCUGCUCAUUAAGACCUUAGAAUGAAUCUACUCUUACAAGUCUAAUCCAUGAAUAAACUAAGAAAUAGAACUUUGCUGAAAAAUUCCUCAAGGAUUUACAAGUUGCUGUAAGUCCCCAAGGAGUGGGGUUUGAGCUAUAAAGUUGCCUGAGGUACACAAGUCUGUACAGUGUAGUAAGAAUUUGGAAACUGACAUCUGUCCACAACAAAGACACUACUGAUACCAAAAUCAGAGCUAUCUGGCUUUCUGUCCCCGUGUUAAAUAGUCCUUAGUGUGGGUUUAAGGGUAGCUUAAUGGUUGCUGGCUUAAGAAAGACGGAAUUUUGAGCGACUGUUAGAUGUGUUAAAGCAGAAGAGCCAAUCUAGAUUUCUUAAAAACCUAGGAUUUUAAAUCAUUUAAUUUAUUAUCUUAAACUGAUCAUAUAAUUCAUCCAAUCAUAUUCAAAAUUCUUAACUACUUAGAAACAUAUAUGUAAAACUGGAAAAGAAAUGUAGAUAUACCUUCAUUCCUCGUAUCUAAUAAAAUAACAAUAUGAAAGAGCCUGGCAAUUAGAAGGUAUCAAUAAAUGUAGGUUCCCACCAAGGACCUACUACAGUACAAGAAACUCUAUUUAAUAUUUUGUAAUAAACCAUAAUGUAAAAGAAUCUGAAAAAAAUAGACAUAUAGAUAUAUAAACAUAUCUAUCUACAUAUAUAUGUAUAACUAAAUCACUUUGCUGUAUACCUGAAACACAGCACUGUAAAUUAACUAUAAUUUUUAAUGGUUAAAAAAUUUAAUUAAAAAUUAAAAAUAAAAAUCAACUAUAAUUUAAAUGCAAAAAAAUUAAAAAUAAAAAUAAAUGUAGGUUUCAUUUCAUCUUCUAUUCUGUGCUUUAUUCAAAUGACCCAUAAUAAUGGAAUAAUUCUUUGCCAACUCUUAGAUUUUGUAACAAACUCAGCUGAACAUUCAGUGUGUUAUUUUGGAUGGACAUCAGUUAAAAACACAGUCAUGAAACUGGACUAUAGUAAGACUAAGGACAUUGACAGUCUUGCAUAUAUUAUACCAGUCUCUGCUGCUCAAUCCAUUAGUGAAGCCUGUGUCGGCCAAAUUCAACAUUCCUUUCUUCCUCAACUGAGGAAGAAUCCAAUUUGGAAGAAUGGGAGAUAGGAAAAUAAUCAACUCUGGGGGCAUAAGAAUGCCUGGUCAGAGUAAGGAUUAUUUUAUCUUCUGCAUUAUUUUAAUAAUUAGACCAAGUCAAAAAUCUUGAAGUCAGUGAUCAGUAGUCAUCGUACCACCUUAAACAGACAGCCCGAUGCCCAUCAGAUGGAGAACCUCAGGGAAAUGUUUCAUGACCCUUAGAUCUCCUCAGGAUGGCCUUUUUAUUUACCUUUGAGUUCAGUCAGACUUGCUAGUUCACAUUCAAGAAUUCAAUAAAAGAAUAUUUUUAGAAAUUUCAGUAUAUUUAAUUACAUACCGAACACUCAUUCACCAAAAAAAAAAGUAUUGGUAUCCAACCAUGUUUAAAACGUCUUGCCAGUUAGAGAGAUCAGUUUGGGGAGAGAGAGAAGGAAGUAAGACAUAUCUCCUGGCCUCUAAGAAUACCUAGUCCUAGCGCAAGAAAUGAGAUAUGUGGUCACAACCACAAUACAAGGUAAGAUGCGCUGUAAGAGAAGUACAGGCAGGACACAGUGUGAGUUUGAGGAAUGAAGGAUUAUUUGGGAUUGACAGGAUUCUAAAAUAUUCAACAGUAUUUGUCAUUGAUUUCACAAUAUGGAGAUAAGUAUCAGAUUUAUCUUAGAGUCAAGGAUCUCAGAAAUAAGAGAAUUCUGAGAAAUGGAAUCCAAUCCUCUAUUCCAUGGGUUCUUAAGUAGAAAUCCGUGGACCGACUUUAAGGUAUUUGGACCCCCCUGUAUUGCCUCUUAUUCUCUAUUCCCUUUGAAAUCUCACCCUCUUCUAUCCUGUCAUUAAAUAUUGAAGUUCAUCGAAUGUUUAUCUCAGGCCCAUUCAUCCAUAGCCAUGAUGUCAAUGGCUAAAAAUAGCAGUUAUUCCUAAAUUUAUCUCUCUAGUCAAGAUCUCAUCUCUAAGUUCCAUAUAUUUCACUGCCUACUUGACACCUCCACUGGGAAAACACAACAUGUCCAAGAGAUACCUCAUAAUCUUCCCCCUCAGUCCUGGUCCUCUUUUAUAGUUACCUGCUGCAUUCAUCUUUAAGCCCCCACAACCCUAUCCCCACAUACAGAAAUUAGAUCUUCUUUUAUCAACUCAUGUCUAACCAUGUCACACUUUAAGAUCCUUCAACAGCCCCCCACUGCUUAUGAUUUACAGCCCAAACCCUACACAAGGCUUCAUGAUUUGGGAUGCUGUUGGCUGCAAAUAACAGAACCCUCACUCAACUAGCCUAAAUGAUAAUGUUGUCACUUAACACAAGGUCCUUAAAAUAGUGGCUCCAGAUGGAUCAUCAGCAUCUUUAAGGACCCAAUUUUCUUUCAUCUUUCUUCUCUACCAUUGAAUUUUUUUAAAGAUUUCUGGUUUAUGUUCACCAUGGGUUAAUCGUGAAAGAAAAAUUUUCUUUCCAUGUCAAUCCCUCCUUGAAUUGUUAUUUAAAGUGUUUUCAUUUUGUCCUUUAAUUGUGGUGAGGGCACUUUUACAAGGAACUUUCAAGUAUGAUUAGAUAAGGUCCCAUGGGAUAUGUUAUUUCACCAAGGUGCACAUUUUUGAGAACUGCCACCCUGGUCACAUGACCAAAAACCGUCAUAGGCCCCUACCAACUUAUCUAUAAAGCCUCAGCAGACAGUGAGUAUCAAGGUUAGAAGCCUUCAGUUGUAUUGGACUGAAAUGUUUAAUAGUGUUCGGUCAAGCAUGGCUGCCUUCCAGUGAGAUAAAAUAUUCAUCAAUUGUGAGUCAUAAAUUCUUCCCUUGCCCUGUACUUUGCUAUAGUGAAUGAGUACAGGACUGUAAUUCAAGGGAUGGAUAAGGAAAUAAAAAGGAAUAUAAGUAUAAUUUCUUAUUUUAGAGCCAUAUUGUGGGGAGAAGCACACUAAGCAGAAAGGCACCAUGAGAUACCUUCCUUGGAAUGGCACAAUGGUGACAGCAACACAGUUUGCCAACCUAAACACACUAGGUUCUGAUCCAACAUCAACUGCAAAAAAGAAUUUGAUAAACAGAAAGUCAUUUGCAGUGAAAAAUGCUUUGUUGCUGGAGUUCCCAUGGUGGCACAGCAGAAAUGAAUCCGACUAGGAACCAUGAGGUUGCAGGUUCAAUCCCUGGCCUCACUCAGUGGUUUAAGGAUCUAGCAUUGCUGUGAGCUGUGGUGUAUGGUGUAGAUUGCAGACAUGGCUCAGAUCCUGCAUUGCUGUGGCUGUGGUGUAGGUCAGCAGCUGUAGCUCCAAUUAGACCCCUAGCCUAGGAACCUCUGUAUGCCGUGAGUGUGACCCUAAAAAGCAAAAAAAUAAAAAAAUAAAAAAA